This 489-nucleotide long non-coding RNA is filed under the name Androctonus crassicauda. The record is from RNAcentral. Lineage: Eukaryota; Metazoa; Arthropoda; Arachnida; Scorpiones; Buthidae.
GUUCUUAAAAAUAAAUAAAUUUGCCAUUUGUUUCAACUUUGCAGGCGGGCGACUUCCAGCCUAGCGCCGGCCCUGGUUACAUCUACUAAUAAACCAACUAUCUGUGCGAAAAAAUUCGAAGAAUGGUCAAAACUCGAUGCAAUACGAGUUGCAUCACUUGGCCAUGCUUAACGAUAUCCCCAAUACGGCUCUUACUGCAUUUUUUUUCUAGCGCUUUAUCUCGAGCAUGAUACGCAUGAGAUCAUGCUGGCGAUAGUGUGUGAUUUACUUUUAAGAAUUGUUUUAUUGCCGAGUAUAAAAGAGGCCGUUAUCUCCCCUUUUAUAUUGUUACGCGAUAAGAACCAUACAAUAAAUUUACAGACCGAUCCCCCUGUCUCAACUAUCUAUCAAUUUUGGAAACAAUUUAUUCUACUUCUUAAAGAAACCAAAUUUUUCAUUUUUUUUUUUUUUUUUAUUAAUUUUUUUAACUCAUAAAUCGGCUUAAUAAUA